GAGGGGCCCGCGUCGGAUUAGCUAGUUGGUGGGGUAACGGCCUACCAAGGCGAUGAUCCGUAGCUGGUCUGAGAGGAUGAUCAGCCACACUGGGACUGAGACACGGCCCAGACUCCUACGGGAGGCAGCAGUAGGGAAUAUUGGACAAUGGGGGCAACCCUGAUCCAGCAAUGCCGCGUGAGUGAUGAAGGCCUUAGGGUUGUAAAGCUCUUUCGCGCGCGACGAUGAUGACGGUAGCGCGAGAAGAAGCCCCGGCUAACUUCGUGCCAGCAGCCGCGGUAAUACGAAGGGGGCGAGCGUUGUUCGGAAUUACUGGGCGUAAAGGGCGCGCAGGCGGCCGAUCAAGUCAGGCGUGAAAGCCCCGGGCUUAACCUGGGAAUUGCGCUUGGGACUGGUUGGCUUGAGUUCGGGAGAGGAGAGUGGAAUUCCCAGUGUAGAGGUGAAAUUCGUAGAUAUUGGGAAG
RNAcentral lists this ribosomal RNA (463 nucleotides) under uncultured Pseudomonadota bacterium. Its description in RNAcentral is "bacterial SSU rRNA". It matches the Rfam family "Bacterial small subunit ribosomal RNA", at positions 224 to 704 of the family's 1533-position model. The record is from RNAcentral. Lineage: Bacteria; Pseudomonadati; Pseudomonadota.